AGUGAACGCUGGCGGUAGGCCUAACACAUGCAAGUCGAACGGCAGCACAGUAAGAGCUUGCUCUUACGGGUGGCGAGUGGCGGACGGGUGAGGAAUACAUCGGAAUCUACUUUUUCGUGGGGGAUAACGUAGGGAAACUUACGCUAAUACCGCAUACGACCUACGGGUGAAAGCAGGGGAUCUUCGGACCUUGCGCGAUUGAAUGAGCCGAUGUCGGAUUAGCUAGUUGGCGGGGUAAAGGCCCACCAAGGCGACGAUCCGUAGCUGGCCUGAGAGGAUGAUCAGCCACACUGGAACUGAGACACGGUCCAGACUCCUACGGGAGGCAGCAGUGGGGAAUAUUGGACAAUGGGCGCAAGCCUGAUCCAGCUAUACCGCGUGGGUGAAGAAGGCCUUCGGGUUGUAAAGCCCUUUUGUUGGGAAAGAAAAGCAGCAGGUUAAUACCCCGCUGUUCUGACGGUACCCAAAGAAUAAGCACCGGCUAACUUCGUG
This 492-nucleotide ribosomal RNA is filed under the name uncultured bacterium. RNAcentral describes it as "partial 16S ribosomal RNA". It matches the Rfam family "Bacterial small subunit ribosomal RNA", at positions 29 to 507 of the family's 1533-position model. The record is from RNAcentral.